Molecule: RNA transcript, 1913 nt
Organism: Passer domesticus (house sparrow)
Lineage: Eukaryota; Metazoa; Chordata; Aves; Passeriformes; Passeridae
Exons: 4
Source: RefSeq, a predicted model, not a curated record
CCGUGCGGGUGGCCGGGCCUGGCCCGUGCGGCCGGCUGGGCUGGGAGCACUGGGCGGCACUCAGAGUUUCCAAAAGUCCAUGCAGUGGCCACGUCCUGGUUCAUUUCUCCUGGCAUCCCGCAGUCAUGCAGAGCCACUGCUGCACCUGCUGGCAGCGUCACUCCUCUGCUGCCCUUCCCUUCUCCCAGCAUGCAGGGUGGAAAAUACACAUUCAACAAAACAAGCUCCCUGUCCGGGCUGGAUCCUCGGGCUGCUUCCCCCAGGACACCACGCUCGUGUUGAAGACGGAAUGAGGACUGUGAGGGGUCUGGAGCAGCUCCCAGCCCACAGGAUUUGGGAGGUGUCCACUCACAGCACGGCUGUCCUGGAUGGUGCUGCUGACCUGCUCCAUCUUCCCUGCCAAGGGGGUCACACCUCCAGCCCAGCAGAGCAGGACGUUUCAUGUUUGCCUGGCACACCAUGGCAUGUGUUGCUGUGCUGUGCUAGUGUGGCCUGUGCACGCAAAGGAGGAUGCUCAUGGGGGACAACACGUGAAGAUGUGACCUGCCUGGCACUAGGGGACACCAGGACUGCAGCUGGGGUUUCCCUCCAGCUCUGUGGAAAUAUGUUUAAGGCUGGCCCAUGCAAAGUGCCUGCUAGGGCUGGUCCCUGGCCCUUGGCAGCCCUGGGCGUGCCACCUCCCUGCCUGGCAUCUGCUGCCACUCUUCUGCAUGACACAGGCUCUGAUGGAGGAAUUUCAUCCUCCAUCUCCUGCCCAGCCUGCUCCAGCACCAUCCUUGUCUCUACUUUGUGUGCCUUUAUCUUGUGUAGGGUUUUACCUUUCUUGGCCUGUUUCCCUGCUGGACCCAACCAUCUGCCAGUGUAAAUUCAACAUCUCUCUGCUCCGUGUUGUUGGUGUGAAUGACCAGAAUCAAGAAAUCUGACUAAAAUGAACAUUUUGGAUGUUGUUUUUAUCUGCCUGCUGGGUUUUGGAGAGAGAGAGAGGGGGUUUUACAUUUGGCUCAGCCAAAUGAGCUCCAAGCCAUGAGCUGGCAGCCACGGGAGCUGGCAAAGGUAGCUGAGAGAGGACUUGUGAUGCAAGCAAUUUGUGGUGGUUGCUGUCCCUUUGAUGGAGGGCAGGGUAGCUGACUGGAGGGGCACUGUGAUCUGUCCCCCACAAUGGCUGCUCUCAUCCAGUCCACCAGCAGACCCUCUGCUCCCUUUUUUUGGAGCACAAAAGCCAUUACUAUCUUCCAUGCACUUUUUUGAGCACAUCAGUUAUGUAAGCUCAGUGUGCCUGUCUCCCUGUUUUUCUGGGCUUUUCAAGGCCCCUGAGAAUGUGUGUGCAAAGAGCUGAACUGGUAGAGAAAAGGGCUUGUUUGUGCUACCACAGAGGGAAAGAGCAGAACCCUUUAUUAGCCAGCAGAGACUCUACAUGGGGCUGUGGCUUUGUGGCACCAAACAGUUGGACAUUGCUUUGUAGGGCAGCUGUUCCCAGACCAACACACUUCUAAGACAUAAGAAACACAGUGGUUUGUGUAUAUUUAAGUAUUUUAUUGAGACCGGACGUAGGGACCACUCAGGUCCCUCCUGAGGAACUGUGUGCUGAGCUCCUGUCCCUUGCUUAUUAUACAUGGAAAAAAUAUGUCAAACAUGCAAUGUCGUGGUACAGCCUGAUCUUUGAGAAUCUCAUUUUCCAUCCAAGCCCUGCUCAGUGUGCUCAGGAGGAUGAGGAUGGACAAUUACCUGAGCCUUGUAUCUGGCUUUCAUCCAGAUCAGGGUCAGACACCUCCAAGAUGGCUCUGCUGCUCGGGGAUGGGGAUUGCUCCACACAGCAGGUAUGAGGGUUGUGUGAGCUCCCAAAGACUGGGAAGGAGCUGGGUGAGAGGAAGCAGCCCUGGAGCAGUCAGCACUGACUGGGAUGGUGAGAAAAC